Molecule: long non-coding RNA, 1197 nt
Organism: Camellia sinensis
Lineage: Eukaryota; Viridiplantae; Streptophyta; Magnoliopsida; Ericales; Theaceae
Source: RefSeq, a predicted model, not a curated record
CUCACCCGCUAGUAUUAUACAGAGGGUAAACCCUAACCUAGCACUCCCUCUCACUGUCCUGUCUCUUUAUCUCUUCCGCCUCCUACGUCGUCGCCUCUGGUGGCGCAACCGGCGACCACCACUGCCGCCGCCACCACCUCCUCUCUCACCGUUCUCUCUCUCUUCGCCUAUUAUCUUCACCGAUCUUCACUGGUCGUCUAUUUCGUCUUCUCCACUCUCGUCAUCGGUUCCAAAACCCUAACCCUACAUUCGAUGUUCUCCAAUUCCUCUACAAGCCAUAUGUUCAAAUCCAGACCCUACACUCCCCUCAACUGUUUCAGAACCCUUGUCUACAAAGGACUACCACCGGACUCGUCAGAAUGGCGAUCUCGAACGGGCUGAUUACGAUGAGAAGGAUCAGGCGGCGGGCCACAUUAAUGCCUCAGAAACGAAAUUGGAGGAUGGACGGUUCAUCUUUGCCCUAAUUUUUCUCUCCAUUUUAUGUGGUGCAUUUAGGUUCACUGGCAAGAAACUCUGUGAGGCUAUGUCGCAGGAGUAUUAACAACUCAAAAGAGUUCUAAUUGUUUCAGCAGAUCUAGAUAUAUUGGCUAGCAGUUCUACAAAAUUUGAUAAGGAACUUCCUUUAAUAUCCUUAGAUGGAAAACUUAUUGCAUAUUGGCUACUUUUCUGAUAGUUACACUUUUUGUUAUAUGACAUGGUUAAUAGUUAUUAAAAUUGUUUGGUCUUUAACCUAUGAUUACUUUAGAUCCCUUCUCUGGGUUGGACCUGCACUUCUAUUUUCAACUGCCACUGCAAUCAGCGUGCUUGGGUGGGAUGGAAAAGUGAGGACAAUUCUUUCUAUUAGGAUGCCCAAUGCAGCUUUGUACUAUACCACUGCUUUUCUGAGCCAUCAAGAUGAACUUCUGUACAGUGCUGUUUGGUGCAUUGAAUGAUCGAUUGUUGCUCGCAAACCUAACAAAGAUAAAUCUGAAACAGAAAAGGGGGUUUAGAUAAAGAGCUGUCUUGUUGGGCUUCUCGAACCUCUUCUUAUUGGAUUUGCCACAAUGUAACAGAGUUUUGAGCAGAAACUAGACUUGUCAGAAAUAUUGUAUCAAAUAACAUCCAGGUUUUCCUUUCCCCUACUAGUAGGCAUGUGUUUUGUCACAUAUACAACUCCUUUGGAUAUUCAACACUUGUUGGAUUCUGUUAUCCUUUUCA